GCUGCCAAGAAAAGCCGCUAUUGUUUCAUAAGUACCCGUACCGUAAACCGACACAGGUGGAUGAGGAGAGAAUCCUAAGGCCGGCGGGAGAAGUGUUGUUAAGGAACUCGGCAAAAUGACUCCGUAACUUCGGGAGAAGGAGUGCCACAGAGAUGUGGCCGCAGAGAAAUGGCCCAAGCAACUGUUUAGCAAAAACACAGGUCUAUGCAAAACCGAAAGGUGAGGUAUAUGGGCUGACGCCUGCCCGGUGCUGGAAGGUUAAGAGGAGAGGUUAGAGCAAUCGAAGCUUUGAAUUUAAGCCCCAGUAAACGGCGGCCGUAACUAUAACGAUCCUAAGGUAGCGAAAUUCCUUGUCGGGUAAGUUCCGACCCGCACGAAAGGCGUCAUGAUUCGGGCACUGUCUCAACAACACACCCGGUGAAAUUGAAAUACCAGUGAAGAUGCUGGUUACCUGCGCCAGGACGGAAAGACCCCAUGGAGCUUUACUCCAGUUUGAUACUGGGAUUCGGUACUGUCUGUACAGGAUAGGUGGGAGGCUAGGAAAUGGUGACGCCAGUUGCCAUGGAGCCAACCUUGGGAUACCACCCUUACAGUACUGGGUUUCUAACCUGCAGCCGUAACCCGGCUGGGGGACAAUGUCUGACGGGGAGUUUGACUGGGGCGGUCGCCUCCGAAAGAGUAUCGGAGGCGCUCAAAGGUUCCCUCAGAACGGUUGGAAACCGUUCGAAGAGUGCAAAGGCAGAAGGGAGCUUGACUGCGACACCGACGGGUGGAGCAGAUACGAAAGUAGGACUUAGUGAUCCGGUGGUAUAAAGUGGGAUUGCCAUCGCUCAACGGAUAAAAGCUACCCUGGGAUAACAGGCUUAUCACUCCCAAGAGUUCACAUCGACGGAGUGGUUUGGCACCUCGAUGUCGGCUCAUCGCAUCCUGGAGCUGUAGCAGGUUCCAAGGGUUGGGCUGUUCGCCCAUUAAAGCGGUACGCGAGCUGGGUUCAGAACGUCGUGAGACAGUUCGGUCCCUAUCCGGCGUGGGCGUAGGAUAUUUGAGAGGAGCUGUCCUUAGUACGAGAGGACCGGGAUGGACAAACCUCUGGUGUAUCUGUUGUUUUACCAAAGGCAUGGCAGAGUAGCCAAGUUUGGCAGGGAUAAACGCUGAAGGCAUCUAAGCGUGAAGCCCCCCUCAAGAUAAGAUAUCCCAUCUUCGGAGUAAGACCCCUUGAAGACUACAAGGUUGAUAGGCUUCAGGUGUAAGUGUGGUAACGCACUCAGCCGAGAAGUACUAAUAGGUCGAGGACUUAUCAA
Molecule: ribosomal RNA, 1301 nt
Filed under: metagenome
Description: bacterial LSU rRNA
Rfam family: Bacterial large subunit ribosomal RNA
Source: RNAcentral